AGAGCGGGACUCUGUCUCAAAAUAAUAAUAGUAAAUAAAAAUGAAUAAAGCCUCUGGAUCUGUCCUGGUUUUGAGGGCUGCUCAAAAAAAAAAAAAAAAAAAAAAAGCCUGAUUUAGGUUAAGCAAAACCGAGACAGUCUGUAUAUGUGUGUGUGUAUAACAUGCACCAUAUGUAAUAUAUGAAUUGUAUGCAAUUUUUAUGUGUAACAAAUAGUGGGAAAACAUUUACAUUCCUAUAUAUGCAUAAUCAAUCUGAAAGGAAAGGUAACUGGUAUUAAGAGAAAGGAGGGAAUGGAAUUGGGGGGAAAAAUGUACUUUUCCCUGAAUUUUUUUGUGCAGUUUGAUGCUUUUUGCAGUUUUCAUGAGUUACCUAUUAAGAAAUACUGUUAAAGGAAAAAACAAAAUGACUAUGCAUUCGAGUGAUAGUUAUUGAAUACUAUGUUUCGUGUACUGCCAGGCAUAGCAACUAGCGGCCCUGCAUUUCUAUGUUCUGUUUUUCUACUUUCCUUUUUAAAUCAUCCAGCCCAAAAUGUCACCACUCUGUUCAAAAAGAGCACAGGUUAUGGAAGAGGAGGUGGAGACUAGAGUGUCAGGAAAGAUUACUUAGAGAUUAUGAUUUCUGAGCCAGGAAUAUGAAUGAUGUGUAGAGUUUCUCAAAAGAACAGCAGUUUGGGGAAGGGAACCAAAGUUUAUGGACGAGGAACAGAAUGUGCAAAAUUCCCAGAUCUGUUGAGAGAAUUUGAAGUUGCAGAAGGAAUCUAAUUGACUAACUCAUAUCCUCAUAACCCAUAACCUCAUAUGGAAGGAGAAUCAUUGCUGGGGAAAAGUGAUUGGGAUUUAGUGGCCCUGGUUCCUUUUGCCUAAUACUCUUCUCUUUGGGGCCUCUCAUUAUAUAAUUAGUACUGACACCAUCAUGCUGGGUAGAUGUGGAGAGUUGCUAUGUGCUUUGGUUGGCCUUGCCAAAUAUGAACUCACAAGGUUUUUCUGGAAUAUUUGGAAGGCAUUUUACUAAAGGGUGAGGAGGGAUGGCAUGGAAGAAUUUGACAUGAAAAGCUACCUGGAAUCGCAAAAUUUGGUUCAUUCACCUUUAGUUUGAGGAAGGGGAGGUCCCUGCCCAAGGCCUCCAGGUUUCAGAUGUCAUUUUGUCCCUCCCACUUGAGUGCCUUCACCCACGUCUUCCUGGGUGAUAGAGGAGAAACUCAAGUCUUCACUCUCACAAGACAGAGGGACAUGGCCUUCCUUCACCAACAGCCUCAGCUGGACAACGCUGUCAGGAUGUCACACAAAUGCCUGGCAUCCUAGGAGUCAGGAGUAUUCUUGCAUUGUUAGAGGAGGAGAGUACCUGGAGAGGUCUCUUGUGCCAGGUUAUGCAGGGCCUUGUAUGUUAUGUCACCAUGCAUUUAGAACUUUACCCAGUAGACACAAGGGAAAUUGUGACAGGAAACAGGGUCAGAACUGGGUAUGUAGCAGAAAUCAUAGAAAUGGAUAUAAAGCUAUAGAGGUAAUAUGUUAUAAGGAAAAUAACUUAGGAAACCCGGCUUCUGUUCUUGGCUGUACCUGUAACUGAUUGGAUUAAUGUGAGGAAUCGUUUAGCCUCUUAAAGCUUCAGAGCACAGGUUGCGACAGUUUGUGCCUGCAGUCCCAGCUACUUGGGAGGCUGCAGAGGGAGGAUAGCUUGGGAGUCGAGGCUGCAGUGAGCUAGGAUGGUGCCGCUGCACUCCAGCUUGGGCUACAGGUUGAGACCCUGUGUCUUAAUGAAUAAAAUAAUUAUUUAAAAAAUAAUUUUAAAAAACUUAUGAGUGGUUCAGUGCACUUGUCUAUAAAGGAGUUAAGUGUUUCUUAAAAGGGCUAUUCCAAGCAUGAAGUCUUAAUUUUCUGCUUAACCAGCCUCCAAAUCUAAAGCCAUCUGUAAAAAAGGUAGUAAUCCUCUUGUGAAAAUGCAAGGGCCAUAGAUGUCAAAUGCAUAUUGUUCUGAUUGAUUGAUUGAGAGAAGGUCUCGCUGUGUCAUCUAGGCUGGAGUACAGUGACCCAAUCAUGGCUUACUGCCGUCUUGACCUCCUGGGCUCAGGUGAUUGUCCUGCCUCAGCCUCUUGAGUAGGUGGGACCACAGGCGCAUGCCACCACGCCCCGAUCAUUUAUAAUAAUUAUUUUUUGGAGAGAUGGAGACUCCCUGUGUUACCCAGGCUGGUCUUGAACUACUGGCCUCAAGCAAGUCUCCCACCUGAAGGACAGGAUUUUCAAGUUCUUUUCUGGGCUUCAGUUUCCUUAUUUGGAAAAUGUAGAUAAUAACUGCUUCACAAAGUCCAUUUAGUAUCAACUAAGAUAAUGUAUGUGAAAAUACCAUGUAAAUUAUGAAAAAUGUAUACCUAAUACAUAAAACUCUUUGUGCUGCAUAAUUUUUAGAAAUUACCUUGAGGGACUGAGUGCGGUGGCUCAUGCAGGUAAUUCCAACACUUCGGGAGGCAAAGGCUGGAGGAUCCAUUGAGCCUAGGAGUUCAAGAUCUGCAUGGGUUACAUGCCAGGGCUGCAGUCAUUUGAAGGCUUGACUGGGGCUGGAGGAUUUUCAUCCCAGAUGACUCACUCACCCAGCUGUUGGCAGGAGACCUCAGUUCUUUGCCACACGGACUUCUUUGUAAGACUAUGAAGCUGGCUGAGAACAGGAGAAAAUGGCUUGGAGGAGAAAAAGCUGUUUCAAGUUGGCCACCCCAAAUCACCUAGAUGGGUGUCCAGGCAAAUCAGGGCCCCUAGACACUUGCUCUUCUUUUCCUCUUCUGCUUGGCUGAUGUUGUUUUGAGAGGUGAACUUCUAGGAGGGCCAGAAUUUUUUGUGUGUGUGAAACAAGAGAAAGAGUAUCUGCUUAAUCUAGCUCCCCGAGGAACUUAAUCAAGUCACUCCUGUUCUGGCAUUUGGGUGGGUCCAGGCAGCACCCAAGAGUCCAGGACAUCACCAGUUCCAGCUCAGUGACAGACUUUGUAUGGAAGAACUGGGAAGGAGAAAAAAGUAAGCAUGAUUUCUGUAUAUUUUGCCUGAUGAACAAAGUAAUGCAAUUAAUUGAGGUAGGAGAAGAUCAGGUAUAUGGGAAAAAGGAGAGUGAAGCAAAGAUUCUGUUUUGGACAUGUUGAAUUUUGAUGCCAGUAGGCUUCUAAGUGAUCUCGGAUGAGCAAUUGGACAUUUGAAUAUGGAGCUUGGGGGAGUGGCCUGAGAUUGAGAUAGAAAUACUGCAUAGCUGGUAUAAUUGUGGGGGCCAAAUGUUUUUUCAAGUAUUUGCUAGACAUUUGUAGUUCCUCUAUUGUAGAUUACAUGCUUGUGUCCUUUACCUAUAUAUCUACUGAAUCUCUCACAGUUAUUCUUAAAAUUUCCUAAAAGUUUAAUGCAAUAAAAAAUGUUUAACAAACUACCUUAAAUCAUCUAAUUUUUACAGCAAGCCUGGUACAGGUUUUUAAAUUUUUGACUAAUGAGAGUUGUGACCUCCACAGACAAAUUUUAAAAUCGUCAGCAUAUAACAAAUAAGAAAAACAUAUUUGUCGUCCACAAGGAAAUGAUGUAUGCUUUAUGUUCACAAAGCAAGGAUAUAUUGUGUCUCCCAAGGGAGCUCACAGGCUGCUAUGUAUAGUAAAUCAGGCUUAGAAACCUGAUUUCUCUGUAUAUCAGGAGUGAAUCCAUCUUUCAGGAAUGGACUUACAUUAACCUAGUUUAUGAGUCUGAUUUUUAAAAGCAGAAGGUCAAAUUGCGAUGCAAAAUCAUUGUCCCAGCGACAGGGAUAUUUUAAAUUUGUGCAACUAGCUUUUUGUUAUCCUGGACAAUAAUGUCUAUGGAAUAUUUAAUGACCUUAAGCUAAGAGAACGUGAGUCACCCAUCUCACGUUAGGGAUGAUCUUUCUAGGGAAAAACAUCAAUCAGCUCAUUCACUCUCUUGCUUCAUCAGCCCUAACCACACCCUGUUGUCUCACUCUGAACAGCGCCAUUUAUCUCUUUGGCCUCUACAGGCAUUUAUAACCCUGGCCCUAAUGGCUUUGCCCAAGUAGCAAAUACUUUGAUGAAUGAAAAACUCCCAUGAAUCAUGUUUAAAACAAGUUUUUUUGUGGUUGAAGUUCUUGAGAUCUAAACCAUGAGUCAUGUUUUAAUAGCAAAUACUGCUUUUUAUCUCUGAGACCUUCCUUUUUUCAGGGUUUAAGGCUGACUAGCCCACUCGUGAUGACAGUCAUUUUAGAUAAUUUAACAAAUUCAAUCAAAUUACUAUCCAGUUCUGGCCCUGAGAUCCAAUCUGGAUCUUCAGGUCACUCCCAUCAUUUUAUUUUGCAGUAUAUUAAGCCUCCAGCUUCAUUAAUUACUGACCAUGUGACCUGGCCAUGCCGCUGAUUCCAUGUGUAUUUCAGUUUCUUAAUCUGUAAAACGGGAAAAAGAAUAUCAAAAGUGAUAGGAUUACUGUGCAGUGCUGAGGUUGUGGGAAGCACAUGGCUCAUUCCAUGUGGCAGGGAAAUCCCCUUCACGGGGCAGCUCACCAAUUGCUCGGUAAGUUCCUGAACCCAUCAUUGGCAGGAGGCACGGCAUUCUGUUUCAACUGGCCAUUCCCAGGCUGAGCACUGCCAUACAAGUGUAUGCUGGGCAUUUUGAGUUGUUAGAAUGAUGGCAAGUGGAGGUCAGGGAUGCUAAACAUCGUAAGAUGCACCUGAGAGCCCGGCAGAGCAAAGAACUGGUCAGCCCCAAGUGCUAGUUGCACCUGCUGCUAAGAAAUACUACUGGAGGGCCAGGC
Cercocebus atys (sooty mangabey) is the source of this 4752-nucleotide long non-coding RNA. RefSeq lists it as uncharacterized. NCBI's taxonomy places the organism in Eukaryota, Metazoa, Chordata, Mammalia, Primates, Cercopithecidae. The transcript is spliced from 3 exons. The record is from RefSeq and is a predicted model, not a curated record.